UGCUUGGGGAUCUGCCUUUAGGUGGGGGACAACAGUUGGAAACGACUGCUAAUACCGCAUAAUGUCUACGGACCAAAGCGGGGGCUCUUCGGACCUCGCGCCUUAAGAUGAACCCAAGUGAGAUUAGCUGAUUGGUGAGGUAAUGGCUCACCAAGGCGACGAUCUCUAGCUGGUCUGAGAGGAUGAUCAGCCACACUGGAACUGAGACACGGCCCAGACUCCUACGGGAGGCAGCAGUGGGGAAUAUUGCACAAUGGGGGAAACCCUGAUGCAGCCAUGCCGCGUGUGUGAAGAAGGCCU
Molecule: ribosomal RNA, 300 nt
Filed under: uncultured Psychromonadaceae bacterium
Lineage: Bacteria; Pseudomonadati; Pseudomonadota; Gammaproteobacteria; Alteromonadales; Psychromonadaceae
Description: bacterial SSU rRNA
Rfam family: Bacterial small subunit ribosomal RNA
Source: RNAcentral